AUUGAACGCUGGCGGAAUGCUUUACACAUGCAAGUCGAACGGCAGCACGGGGCAACCUGGUGGCGGGUGGCGAACGGGUGAGUAAUACAUCGGAACGUGCCCAAUCGUGGGGGAUAACGUAGCGAAAGUUACGCUAAUACCGCAUACGAUCUACGGAUGAAAGCGGGGGAUCGCAAGACCUCGCGCGAAUGGAGCGGCCGAUGUCAGAUUAGGUAGUUGGUGGGGUAAAGGCUCACCAAGCCGACGAUCUGUAGCUGGUCUGAGAGGACGACCAGCCACACUGGACUGAGACACGGCCCAGACUCCUACGGGAGGCAGCAGUGGGGAAUUUUGGACAAUGGGCGCAAGCCUGAUCCAGCCAUUCCGCGUGCAGGAUGAAGGCCUUCGGGUUGUAAACUGCUUUGUACGGAACGAAACGGUUCUCUCUAAUACAGGGGCGUAAUGACGGUACCGUAAGAAUAAGCACCGGCUAACUACGUAGCCAGCAGCCGCGGUAAU
RNAcentral lists this ribosomal RNA (498 nucleotides) under uncultured bacterium. Its description in RNAcentral is "bacterial SSU rRNA". It matches the Rfam family "Bacterial small subunit ribosomal RNA", at positions 30 to 524 of the family's 1533-position model. The record is from RNAcentral.